This is a small nuclear RNA of Portunus trituberculatus (swimming crab), 148 nucleotides long. RefSeq annotates it as U4 spliceosomal RNA. The transcript has a single exon. Lineage: Eukaryota; Metazoa; Arthropoda; Malacostraca; Decapoda; Portunidae. The record is from RefSeq and is a predicted model, not a curated record.
GCGCGCACGCAGUGGCAGCAUCGUAACCAAUGAGGUUUAACCGAGGUGCGAUUAUUGCUAGUUGAAAACUUUUCCCAGUACCUACACCGCCUGGGUGACUUGAAAUAUUAUAGUCAGCCAUGGCAAUUUUUUUUUUUUUUUUGUGUGU